AGUGAACGCUGGCGGUAGGCUUAACACAUGCAAGUCGAACGGCAGCACAGUAAGAGCUUGCUCUUACGGGUGGCGAGUGGCGGACGGGUGAGGAAUACAUCGGAAUCUACUUUUUCGUGGGGGAUAACGUAGGGAAACUUACGCUAAUACCGCAUACGACCUACGGGUGAAAGCAGGGGAUCUUCUGACCUUGCGCGAUUGAAUAAGCCGAUGUCGGAUUAGCUAGUUGGCGGGGUAAAGGCCCACCAAGGCGACGAUCCGUAGCUGGUCUGAGAGGAUGAUCAGCCGCACUGGAGCUGGGACACGGUCCAGACUCCUACGAGAGGGAGCAGUGGGGAAUAUUGGACAGUAGGCGCAAGCCUGAUCCAGCCAUACCGCGUGGGUGAAGGAGGCCUUCGGGUUGUGAAGCCCUUUUGUUGGGAAAGAAAAGCAGCAGGUUAAUACCCCGCUGUUCUGACGGUACCCAAAGAAUAAGCACCGGCUAACUUCGUG
This 492-nucleotide ribosomal RNA is filed under the name uncultured bacterium. RNAcentral describes it as "partial 16S ribosomal RNA". It matches the Rfam family "Bacterial small subunit ribosomal RNA", at positions 29 to 507 of the family's 1533-position model. The record is from RNAcentral.